Pelobates cultripes (western spadefoot toad) is the source of this 319-nucleotide non-coding RNA. NCBI's taxonomy places the organism in Eukaryota, Metazoa, Chordata, Amphibia, Anura, Pelobatidae. The record is from the annotation of a GenBank genome assembly.
AAACGAAAGACUGCAGUCGUGGUGGAUGUGGCAAUACCCCGUGACUAGAACAUCAGGAAGAAGGAACAUGAGAAGGUGGAGAAAUACCUAGGACUGAAAGAAGAACUAGAAAGAAUGUGGAAAGUGAAGGCAGUAGUAGCCUCAGUUGUGAUAGGAGAACUCAGGGCUGUGACUCCCAAGUUGAGGGAGUGGCUUCAACAAAUUGCAGGUGGGACAUCUGAGAUUGCUAUCCAGAAGAGUGCAGUUCUAGGAACAGCUAAUAUACUGUGCAGAACCCUCAAAGUCCCAAGCCUCUGGUAGAGGACCCGAGAAUGAGGAG